This is a transfer RNA of Homo sapiens (human), 94 nucleotides long. It matches the Rfam family "tRNA". Rfam says of the family: Transfer RNA (tRNA) molecules are approximately 80 nucleotides in length. Their secondary structure includes four short double-helical elements and three loops (D, anti-codon, and T loops). Further hydrogen bonds mediate the characteristic L-shaped molecular structure. tRNAs have two regions of fundamental functional importance: the anti-codon, which is responsible for specific mRNA codon recognition, and the 3' end, to which the tRNAs corresponding amino acid is attached (by aminoacyl-tRNA synthetases). tRNAs cope with the degeneracy of the genetic code in two manners: having more than one tRNA (with a specific anti-codon) for a particular amino acid; and 'wobble' base-pairing, i.e. permitting non-standard base-pairing at the 3rd anti-codon position. NCBI's taxonomy places the organism in Eukaryota, Metazoa, Chordata, Mammalia, Primates, Hominidae. The record is from Rfam.
GCUCCAGUGGCGCAAUCGGUUAGCGCGCGGUACUUAUAAGACAGUGCACCUGUGAGCAAUGCCGAGGUUGUGAGUUCAAGCCUCACCUGGAGCA